GGGGGUAGUAACGCUUUGAGCUUACUCAUUUGCUAGUGAGGCUGUGUGGUUUCAAUGUAUGUUAUUUUUGGGGGUUUGGGGUUUGUGUAGGUGGGUGUGGCUUCUUGGUGGUGGGAGCUUUGUUCUGCUGGUAGCUGCAUUGAGCACUAGGCUGGUAAGAAGCUUGGGUAGUAGGAGGAGGCUGUGGUGGUGGGUUGGAUUUGAGCUUAGAAUUGCUAGGGUGGCCCUCCUAUGUAUGAAGGGUAGAUGGGUUGCUGGAAGGUGUGGUUUACUUCCCUCGGUUGGCUG
RNAcentral lists this long non-coding RNA (288 nucleotides) under Sorghum bicolor (sorghum). RNAcentral describes it as "long non-coding RNA (SBIC_LNC009091)". Lineage: Eukaryota; Viridiplantae; Streptophyta; Magnoliopsida; Poales; Poaceae. The record is from RNAcentral.